CGUUGGCCACUGCGCAGACCAGAUUUCCCUUGCUCGAAAGCCUCUCUCUGCUCCCUACGAGACCAUGUCUGACAAACCCAAUAUGGCUGAGAUCGAGAAAUUCGAUAAGUCGAAAUUGAAAAAGACAGAAACGCAAGAGAAAAACCCACUGCCUUCCAAAGAAACGAUCGAACAGGAGAAACAAGCAGGCGAAUCGUAAUGAGGUCAGCGCCGCCAGUAUGCACUGUACAUUCCACAAGCAUUGCCUUCUUAUUUUACUUCUUUUAACUGUUUAACUUUGUAAGAUGCAAAGAGGUUGGAUCAAGUUUAAAUGACUGUGCUACCCCUUUUAAUAUCAAAGAACUACUGACAACGAAGGCCGCGCCUGACUCUCCCAUUUGCCUGUCUGGCUGGCAGGGAAGGAAAAGAGCUUGCAUGUUGGUGAAGGAAGAAGAGGGGUGGGAUGACAGUGAAAUCUAGAGUCAAUCAAGCUGGCCCAAGGUAUCCUGCAGGCUGUAAAAUGCAGUUUAAUCAGAGUGCCAUUUUUUAAUUAUUGGAAUGUACAAUUUUUUUAAUAUGCA
RNA transcript from Carlito syrichta (Philippine tarsier), 560 nucleotides. It is a transcript of the gene named thymosin beta-4 pseudogene, with no coding region annotated. The record is from RefSeq and is a predicted model, not a curated record. Lineage: Eukaryota; Metazoa; Chordata; Mammalia; Primates; Tarsiidae. The transcript has a single exon.